This 551-nucleotide ribosomal RNA is filed under the name uncultured fungus. RNAcentral's name for it is "eukaryotic LSU rRNA". The stretch from base 186 to 339 matches the Rfam family "5.8S ribosomal RNA". Lineage: Eukaryota; Fungi. The record is from RNAcentral.
AAGUCGUAACAAGGUCUCCGUUGGUGAACCAGCGGAGGGAUCAUUACUGAGUACUACACUCUCUACCCUUUGUGAACUAUUAUACCUGUUGCUUCGGCGGCGCCCGCAAGGGUGCCCGCCGGUCUCAUCAGAAUCUCUGUUUUCGAACCCGACGAUACUUCUGAGUGUUCUUAGCGAACUGUCAAAACUUUUAACAACGGAUCUCUUGGCUCCAGCAUCGAUGAAGAACUCAGCGAAACGCGAUAUGUAAUGUGAAUUGCAGAAUUCAGUGAAUCAUCGAAUCUUUGAACGCACAUGGCGCCUUCCAGUAUCCUGGGAGGCAUGCCUGUCCGAGCGUCGUUUCAACCCUCGAGCCCCUGUGGCCCGGCGUUGGGGAUCUGCCACGGCAGGCCCCUAAAACCAGUGGCGGACCCGAAGGGCCCUCUCCUUUGCGCAGUAGCAUUCGCCUCGCAUCGGGAGUCCUCGGCGUCCUGCCUCUAAACCCCCCACAAGCCCGCUUCGGCGGCACCAAGGUUGACCUCGGAUCAGGUAGGAAUACCCGCUGAACUUAA